This 309-nucleotide ribosomal RNA is filed under the name uncultured eukaryote. RNAcentral describes it as "partial 18S ribosomal RNA". It matches the Rfam family "Eukaryotic small subunit ribosomal RNA", at positions 1470 to 1796 of the family's 1831-position model. The record is from RNAcentral.
CCCUUAGAUGUUCUGGGCGGCCCGCGCACUACAAUGGCGUGUGCAGCGAGUGCCGAAGUAGAGUUUUCCGAGGUAUUCUUGCAAUGCUCGUUUUGAUGGGGAUAGACCCUUGCAACUGUUGGUUUUGAACGAGGAAUUCCUUGUAAGCAUGGUUUAUCAUCCGACGCUGAAUGCGUCCCUGCCCUUUGUACACACCGCCCGUCGCUCCUACCGAUGAGUCGUCCGGUGAAGUUCGUAGACCUCGUGAUCGUGGAUCACUGGGGGAAGCAAAAUGAACCUCGCGGUUUAGAGGAAGGAGAAGUCGUAACA